CUUCCUACUGUUAUUCUACCAUUCCAUUUUAGUAGAAGUCCUACACGUAUAUUAUGGGAUCCAACACGACCAAGGCAAAAGGACCACAGCACAUCCAUCUGAGGCUCCGUUAUAGCCUCCUGCAGGACAUCCCACAGAUCCUCAGCAUCACCGAAUUGCAGAAGACAGAGAUGAG
Molecule: long non-coding RNA, 175 nt
Organism: Cryptomeria japonica (Japanese cedar)
Lineage: Eukaryota; Viridiplantae; Streptophyta; Pinopsida; Cupressales; Cupressaceae
Exons: 3
Source: RefSeq, a predicted model, not a curated record